This 825-nucleotide ribosomal RNA is filed under the name Triticum aestivum (bread wheat). RNAcentral's name for it is "partial small subunit ribosomal RNA". The record is from RNAcentral. Lineage: Eukaryota; Viridiplantae; Streptophyta; Magnoliopsida; Poales; Poaceae.
AUGCAUACAUUGUGCAUGAGUAGAGGGGGAAAGUUUAAGAGAGAUGACAAGAAAAAUAUUGCUAAUUUCUUUGGAGUGGGUGUUUGGAAUAUACAAAGAAUUUGGAAGAAAGCGAUGGAGCAAAUUGCUGAAGGUCUGGAUAUAGAUGUUUCAAGUCAGAGGAAAGGAAAUUGUGGAAGAAAGCCGAAAGACAUCAAUCUAGAGCAAAUCCCUACCAUCCCACUGAACAGGAGGUCUACUAUCAGGUCACUUGCCUGGCAACUCGGGUGCAGCCCUACGACACUCCACCGGAAGUUCAUGCUGAAGUUGAUAAAGAGGCAUACAAACUGUUUGAAGCCAGCUCUGAAUGAAAAGAACAAGAAGGAUAGAGUGAAAUUUUGCUUGUCAAUGCUCGAUGAGACAACAACACAAACUGAAAGGCCAAAAUUCAAGACCAUGCACAACAUUAUUCAUAUUGAUGAGAAAUGGUUCUAUAUGACCAAGAAAAAAAGGAACUAUUAUCUGCCGUAUGGGGAGGAAGAGCCUACGAGAACUCUGCAAAACGGCAAUUGUAUUGGAAAGGUUAUGUUCUUGACAGCUGUUGCUAGGCCGAUGUGGGAUAAUGAAGGAAAUGUGACCUUCUCUGAAAAAAUUGGAAUUUGGCCGUUUGUGAAAGAAGUUCCGGCUUAGAGGAGAAGCGACAACAGGCCCAGAGGAACAUUGGAGACAAAGUCCAUAAAAGUCAACAUGCAAGUAAUGAGAGAGUUCAUGAUAGAGAACCUACUGCCAGCAAUACAAGCAUCUUGGCCUGAGAAUGAUGUUGGGAAAACCAUCUAUAUACAGUAA